This 274-nucleotide ribosomal RNA is filed under the name uncultured bacterium. Its description in RNAcentral is "partial 16S ribosomal RNA". It matches the Rfam family "Bacterial small subunit ribosomal RNA", at positions 523 to 796 of the family's 1533-position model. The record is from RNAcentral.
AUACGGAGGGUCCAAGCGUUAUCCGGAAUCAUUGGGUUUAAAGGGUCCGCAGGCGGUCAAUUAAGUCAGAGGUGAAAGCCCAUCGCUCAACGAUGGAACUGCCUUUGAUACUGGUUGACUUGAGUUAUACGGAAGUAGAUAGAAUAAGUAGUGUAGCGGUGAAAUGCAUAGAUAUUACUUAGAAUACCGAUUGCGAAGGCAGUCUACUACGUAUAUACUGACGCUGAGGGACGAAAGCGUGGGGAGCGAGCAGGAUUAGAAACCCUAGUAGUCC